Molecule: small nuclear RNA, 161 nt
Organism: Etheostoma spectabile (orangethroat darter)
Lineage: Eukaryota; Metazoa; Chordata; Actinopteri; Perciformes; Percidae
Product: U1 spliceosomal RNA
Exons: 1
Source: RefSeq, a predicted model, not a curated record
CAUCUUACCUGGCAGGGGAGAUACCAUGAUCAAGAAGGUGUGUUCCCCAGGGCGAGGAUUAACCAUUGACUCCGGUUAUGCUGACCUCCGGCGAUUCCCCAAAUGUGGAAUCUCGACUGCAGAAUUUGUGCUAGGGGGGACUGCGUUCGCGCUCUCCCCUG